RNAcentral lists this ribosomal RNA (468 nucleotides) under uncultured bacterium. RNAcentral describes it as "partial 16S ribosomal RNA". It matches the Rfam family "Bacterial small subunit ribosomal RNA", at positions 28 to 507 of the family's 1533-position model. The record is from RNAcentral.
GACGAACGCUGGCGGCGUGCUUAACACAUGCAAGUCGAACGGAAAGGCCCUGCUUUUGUGGGGUGCUCGAGUGGCGAACGGGUGAGUAACACGUGAGUAACCUGCCCUUGACUUUGGGAUAACUUCAGGAAACUGGGGCUAAUACCGGAUAGGAGCUCCUGCUGCAUGGGGGGGGUUGGAAAGGUUCGGCGGUUGGGGAUGGAUUCGCGGCUUAUCAGCUUGUUGGUGGGGUAGGGGCUUACCAAGGCUUUGACGGGUAGCCGGCCUGAGAGGGUGACCGGCCACAUUGGGACUGAGAUACGGCCCAGACUCCUACGGGAGGCAGCAGUGGGGAAUAUUGCACAGUGGGCGGAAGCCUGAUGCAGCAACGCCGCGUGCGGGAUGACGGCCUUCGGGUUGUAAACCGCUUUCGCCUGUGACGAAGCGUGAGUGACGGUAAUGGGUAAAGAAGCACCGGCUAACUACGUG